This is a long non-coding RNA of Lycium barbarum (goji berry), 1084 nucleotides long. RefSeq lists it as uncharacterized. The record is from RefSeq and is a predicted model, not a curated record. Lineage: Eukaryota; Viridiplantae; Streptophyta; Magnoliopsida; Solanales; Solanaceae. The transcript has 4 exons.
AUGAAAAGUAUUUAAUUUCUAUGGCCAAACACAUUGCAAAUAAAGUGAAAAGCAUUUGAUUUCGACGGCCAAACGCCCAAUAAGUUUCAUAAUUAAAUGGCCUAAAAUGCAAAUUUUCGAAAUGACAGUACCGUUUGCAAGAAAAUGUAGAACCGACACAAGUGUUUAGUUUCCAAACCAAACCCAAGUACAGGUGCUAACUGCUUAAGUAGUUAAGCACAUUUAAGCAAAGAAAAAAAAGAAAAAAAAAACAUGAGAACAACUUUCAUUGAAAAUAAUAAACAAGGCAAAGUAGGUAUAGCUAUGCUUACUAAAAAUGAAGAUUGAAGCGUUCCGUUUGGAUCCUUAAACAGCAAAAUAUUGAAUCAGCUAGACAAUGGAUCUACUCUUUAUUGUUUUUCAGCUUCACUAUUGCUUCUUUGUAUCUUUUAGACACGCUAAUUAUCUCCACUAAACUAACCACUGAUUACCAAAAUAUCCAGCUCAAAAAGCAUCCCCAGCUGCCUCUUCGUUUCAACUCCGAUGGAACCUUCAAAAUCCUGCAGGUUGCGGAUAUGCACUAUGUGAAUGGGAUGGUGACUCGGUGUAGAGAUGUGUUGGUGAGUGAGUUCAAUUACUGUUCCGACCUCAACACUACUCAGUUCUUGAGGAAAAUGAUUGAUAUUGAAAAGCCAGACUUGAUUGUAUUUACUGGUGGACAGAGAGAUAAACUUGAUCCUUAGGCUACUUAUACAGAGAUUGCUUAGAGGAGCUCCAUUUGAUCCAAAGCUGCAUCUGUAGGUGGACAGGGAGCUAGACUUCAUCCUUAGGCUACAUAUUAAGAGAUUGCUUAGAGGAGCUCCAUUUGAUCCGGAGCCGCAGCUGUGGGUACUAUUAUUUUGUGUAUAUAUGGGCAUGGCGGGGCCCUGUGCCAUCCUUAUGAUGAUGUGUCAUAGUUUUCUUAGGGGCUCGUAGACAGUCGUAUAUACGAGAUGUCUUUUUCCUUGUCAGCUCAUACUCGUGGUAUAUUAUUUUGUUAAGCCUCAUCGGCUUGUGUAUAUGUGUAUGGGCAUAGUUGGUGAUGCUGAUAUAUAAAAGUGUUUUA